RNAcentral lists this ribosomal RNA (502 nucleotides) under Megalocentor echthrus. RNAcentral's name for it is "partial 16S ribosomal RNA". It matches the Rfam family "Bacterial large subunit ribosomal RNA", at positions 1849 to 2554 of the family's 2925-position model. The record is from RNAcentral. Lineage: Eukaryota; Metazoa; Chordata; Actinopteri; Siluriformes; Trichomycteridae.
GGCCUUACCUGCCCAGUGACUACAAGUUAAACGGCCGCGGUAUUUUGACCGUGCAAAGGUAGCGCAAUCACUUGUCUUUUAAAUGAAGACCUGUAUGAAUGGUUAAACGAGGGCUUAACUGUCUCCCCCUUCAAGUCAAUGAAAUUGAUCUAUCCGUGCAGAAGCGGGUAUAAAAAUACAAGACGAGAAGACCCUUUGGAGCUUAAGAUACAAGAUCAACUAUGUCAAGAGAAUUAAAUAUAUCUAAACCAAAUAGAAUAUUUGAUCCCUAUCUUCGGUUGGGGCGACCACGGGAGAAAACAAAGCUCCCACGCGGACUGGGGAAACUUCCCUAAAACUAAGAGAGACAUCUCUAAGUCACAGAACAUCUGACCAAAAGAUCCGGCCACAAUGCCGAUCAACGAACCAAGUUACCCUAGGGAUAACAGCGCAAUCCCCUUUAAGAGUUCAUAUCGACAAGAGGGUUUACGACCUCGAUGUUGGAUCAGGACAUCCUAAUGGU